Molecule: ribosomal RNA, 508 nt
Filed under: uncultured bacterium
Lineage: Bacteria
Description: partial 16S ribosomal RNA
Rfam family: Bacterial small subunit ribosomal RNA
Source: RNAcentral
GACGAACGCUGGCGGCGUGCCUAAUACAUGCAAGUCGAGCGCAGGAAGUCAUCCGAACCCUUCGGGGGGACGUUGACGGAAUGAGCGGCGGACGGGUGAGUAACACGUAAAGAACCUGCCCUCAGGUCUGGGAUAACCACGAGAAAUCGGGGCUAAUACCGGAUGGGUCAUCGGACCGCAUGGUCCGAGGAUGAAAGGCGCUCCGGCGUCGCCUGGGGAUGGCUUUGCGGUGCAUUAGCUAGUUGGUGGGGUAAUGGCCCACCAAGGCGACGAUGCAUAGCCGACCUGAGAGGGUGAUCGGCCACACUGGGACUGAGACACGGCCCAGACUCCUACGGGAGGCAGCAGUAGGGAAUCUUCCACAAUGGACGAAAGUCUGAUGGAGCAACGCCGCGUGAACGAUGAAGGCCCUCGGGUCGUAAAGUUCUGUUGUAAGGGAAGAACAAGUGCCGCAGGCAAUGGCGGCACCUUGACGGUUCCUUGCGAGAAAGCCACGGCUAACUACGUG